CAACACAGCUGCAGCAAUUUACCUGUGUGACAGGGAGGGAUGGAGCCUGGCUGCUCCUCUCUUAGACCUCACUUAAGGGCUGACUGCCAGAAGGGAAGGAUCUCUGGUUGGAGAUCCCUCUUUGGUGGAGCUUUCCCCUGUGAGCCUGGAAUCUUCUGAUAUGGAUUUGCCCAUGGGGAUUAUUUGCCGGAGGGGCAUUGUGACAUGCAGGGCUGUAAUCCCUGAAAUCCUGAGAAAGAUGAUAAUUUGGAGAAGUUCAGAAUGGUGAAACAGCAAAAUUAAUAAGUAAUGCUGACCAGUAUAGCUGGGUUUGGUGCUGGACAUUCACUGCUGACAUCCAUCCUGCAGCCACGGAGACUUCAAGGCAAUGAUUUUCUACAGGAGAGUUUACAAUGAAGAUUUGCUGAGCACAGAAUUUGGUGUUCUGUUCCUGUUUUGUAGGGUAACCUCACAGAAAGGCAGAGCGUCAGUUCUGCUCAGGUUUGCUGUGUGCUGGGAGCUUUUCCUCAGUUCAUCAUAGAAGAAGACAUGAAGAGGGUAGGUUCAUCCAUUCCUUGAAAUUCUUCCUGGAAUUACACUGUAAAUGUUUUCAAACCAUCCCAUUGUCCGGUCUUAAAAUAAAUUUGGUAUUUUUAGUCUGGGUUCCUUCUUUCUUCUGACCACUGAAAGAAUAUUUGACCUUUUCUUUUCUCUACAGAGAACACGCGGAACAAAAAUGGGUUUGGUUUUAUUAUGGUAAUAGCUUUGUUUCAACUACCUUUUAAAGCAUGGUGUGUGUGUCUGUAUCAAUUCCUGUAAUUUAUUCUUAUUCCUGAUUUCCCCCAGGCAUCGGAACAGUUUUUCUUUCUAAUGUCUCAUUGCACGAGCUGAUACUGUGAUAAUAAUCUGCAGCUUUAUAGCACCUUUGCACUGAAAUAGUCACAAAUAGCCCGCGUGAUUUAUAUCCCAUUGCUUUUCUCCAGCAGAGCUGGCUGGUUUUGGCAGCCCAGUGCAUUUCCAAUGGCCGCAGCCCAUCUCGUGCAGCAGUUCUGUGCACCUCAGCAGCUCUGUCUCUCAGUGGGGUCGUGGGUCGGAUGGGCGCCGUCUGCAGCAGCGCCGUGGGGCACACAGGGCUCGGAGGCCUUUGGUUUGUGCACAGCCAGCCUGGCAGCAGCAGCAGUGCCUCCUGCAGUUUGUGGUGCCACUGGGAUGUGCAGAGUCCUGCAGCUGUGACCUGGGGGGGCUGGGGCUCAUCGUGUGCCUCAACUUUAAAAAUACAAAAAAAUUGCGGCUGCUGUCAGAAUGAGCAAGAGAAGUCUCUCUAUUGCUGUGUAGAUGAGGGUUUUUUGCCUCCCCCUCGGCUCUCGUCUUGUUUCUGAUGAGUGAAGGCAUCUCUCUGUGCCUGCUUCACACAGCAGUUUCACAGCUGGGUUCACAAAACCCGUGUGUGCAGAACUGUAACAAACCCACACUUCCCAUUGGUUGUUUUCUUAGUUCUUCAAUGGAGAAAUUUGUUUGUCAGGUGUACUUGAAGUCCACAGUCCAGGUGUGGCUCUAAUUAUUUGUGAGCACUGAGUGGUGAAUUCUUGUAAAGGUUUUCUUCUACUUAUUUACUUUCAUUUUAAUGUGUGCUUUGCAGCGUUCUGCCUUCUCUCCUGCUGGCACGAGAGCUGUGCCCCAAGAGCCAUAGGUGGGAAUGGAGUUCAAACCACAGCAUGGCCGUUCAUUCGUCUGCUUAUUCCUGAAAGCUGUACCAUCUUCUUGCUUUAAAUUAAAAAAAAAAAAAUCAUCAAGAAAGUGAAAGUGAGCAUCUCUGCUACUGUAAGCAAUGACAGCACGUAACAGAACCUGUCUUGCAGGCUGCAGGCAGCACACAGCGAGCAGAUGGAGAAACUCGACCACGGAAUCGCUCAGUGCUGUGUUAGAAAUCCAUUAAGAAUGUUGGCUGUGUUUGCAGAGCUCUGGAAAAGAAAAAUGCAGAUGAGCUGUGUGCCUGGAAUACAUGCACAGGCUUUAGUUUUACCUCUGGAGUGGCUCUCCCUGUAAGCAACAGCUGUGUGUAUGCAUUUCAUUUCUUUUAAGCUGUUAGAUGGGGUCUCUGUAGUGGCUUGGCCACAGCUUAUUUCAGAGACACAUUUUGCCCACAAGUGAUAAAUGGCAAUGCAAACAGGUAUUAUGUAGAGGUAGAAAAGAAGUUUUGUGUGAGUGAUGGAGCUUGGUGAGGAUUCUCCUCACUUCCACUGUGCCUGCCUGACUUCUUCCAGCACCUGGUUUGCAUCCUUCCUAAUGGUGCAAUCAGACAGGCCUUGCUUCUCUUGCACCUACCCUGGCUGGCUGGGAGAAGUAAGGCUGCUGCUUGCAGAGCCCAGACUUCACCCUCAUGUCCCAGCAGCAGCACUGCUGUGUCCUGCAGGAGGUGUGGGGCUGAAGGGAUGGAGCAGAGAGAGCAGCAGGAGACAGCGCUGGGAGCUUCAGAUGGAUGAGUGAGUGCAGCUGAGCUCGUGUACUGCGAUGCUAAAUGCUGAAUGUUGUGGGAUGAGAGGGACAGGUGAACUGCUCGUGGAACUGUUCUUGGACCUUAAAGACAGCGAUCUUUCUAGUCACUUUUUGUUACUGGCAUCAAAUCUAUUCUCUGCUCUAUUUCUUUAAAUGCAUAACAGCCCCGCAGUGCCCCAUCUCACACGGAUCUGUCCCUGCCUUCCGAAGUCGCAAUGAUCUCUGCUGGCGUUAAGCACUCCAAGGGCAAAGCAGGAGCGAUUUUAAGGCUGCAUGAUAAAGGAGCAAUUCUAGCAGAGCAUCUUUGUUACGUAGAUGUGCAGUUUAUCCGUUGUCUCUGAAAUGUUGCAGUAUUUCAGUCAUUUUCACUUCUUGGUUUCUUUUUUAGAUUCCUUUCCCUUGACUUGAAUGUCUAGGGGGUGGAAAGUAAAGGAAGGCUGUAAUGUGGUGUUUGCUAAAUGGAGCCGAGCUCCAAUCUCAGUGUUUAACUGAGAAGUGUUUUGUCACGGUUCCAGAGGGGUGGAAGCUGUGCGCUCUCUGCAAAGGCAGCAGGGCAGGAUGUGCUGUGCCUGCAGCUUCCCUGCCUGUGGGCUGGCAGUGGGAACACAGGCGAUCAAACUCAAACACUGUGCUUCUGCGUGUCUCUUAACCUCUUAUUUAAACCUUACAGGGUUCGUGCAGCUGUGGGGUGCCCGAAAGACGCCGUGUGCUCUGUCCUGCCAGCUGGGCUCUGGCGUGCACUGAAUGCGAUCCCAGCAGGUCUGCAGUGGAGGAAGCUCCCAGCACUGCCCAGCAGUGUGCGGGAUGCCCGGGGCAGGGCAGCUCCUGGCACAAGGCACAGCACCUCUGGGAUGGAGCAGCUUUUAAGCUGAAGCCGCAGAGGUGCGGUGUGUAAUAAGUAGGCAAAGUUUGCUCUGCAUUUCGAGUGCAUCAUUGUGCUCUAAGUAGUGCAGAUUUGGCUCCUUUAACCCUGAUCUCCUGGGGCUGAGCUUUAAGUGUUUGAACUUUAGCUGCAAAGGAAUAUAUUGAUUAGGCUUUGAUUUAGUCAUUGCUUGCUGGAAAGAUACCGGGUAACAACUCUUAUCUGCCCAUUUGGAUUUUUAGUCAUUACAUGGAUUCCCCUCUCCUUCCCCUUUUCUUCCUCAACACUUUUCUGCCUAAAAGUCUGCCGUGCUUUGUGGAGAAAUAAAAGAAAAAGCAGCUGUCACACUGUGAACAUAAUUGAUUCAAUAAACAACAUUUUCAAGUCCCCUGGGAUGAACCUCAGCGUCCUCGCUUAUGUCAAUUAGUGCUUUAUUCUGCUAAGUGUGGCACCUCUCCUUGAGAUGGAUGGGCCGAGGCAGUCAGCUCGUUGUCUUCGAGGAGAAGCUGUGAGAGAUGGACUGGUUGCUGUAGAUUGAAAAUACCCCGUUCAUUUGUUAUGGACAUGUGAAAGGAAGCUUUCCUGACCUAUUUGUUAAAGCUAAUUGUCUUUUUUCUUGGUUUUGUGGUUUUCUUUUUUCUCUGAAUGGCUCGGGCUGAGACCUUCUUUUUCUUUUGCUGCAGCAGAGAACAGCUUGGGUUAAGCCUUCUCCCAUCUCAGUUGCAGAUAACCUUAUGUCUGCAAUAUUGGAGCAGAGUGGAGCAGCAGAGCUGGCAAAUGGUGCUAUUCAGCGUGCAGAGUGAAGGUGUGGGCAAGGAGGGAAGCUUUAGGUUUUCUUCUACACGGUGACAGUGUUUUCUUUCUUCUGCUUGUACAACAAAUGCGGAGCUGCUUGUUUUGCACUACUGAAGCUUGCACUUGGAUCCAAAUCAAAACUGAGGAGAGCCUUGCUGCAAAACACCACGUCCAGCCCUGGCAAGGAAGAGCACUUAACAAACAAAACAGCAAAGCUUCCCAUCCUGAGGGAAGCAGCUCAGUGCAUCCAAAUGGAGGUGGUGGGAAGCACCUGGGGCUGAACUGCCCUGCACCCCAACAAACCAACAACCCAAAUGGUGCCUUACUAGCAGUUUAUUGUCUCACGGUUCCUUUUCCCUUCACAGAUCCGUUCUUGAGAGGGAACGCUCACCCUGUGGUCCUCUGAUGGUGUCUGUGACUUUGUUCAGUAUUGUUUUCCUACAUUAUAGAGCUGCUGAUGUGUAGAACUUCAAUCAUUGCAGACCCAACCACUUGCAAAGAAUACAAGCGAUGGCGUUUCCCUUCUAAGGAGGAGUGCACUGAGAAGCAAGGAGCAGGGGCAGAACUGGAACACAGUGUGUGACAUAACUGAUUUGCUGCGGGAUCACAGCACCUUGGAACAGUGUGGGAGCUGCAAAGAGUCCUUUGUCCUCUCUGGUUCCUCUCUGAGAAGUCAGUGGUGUUUGGUGCCAUGCAGGCAGCAGGGAACCUGCAGAGAGUAAAUAUGGGAUCAAAAAAUGCUUUUUUUCUUUAGGGUGUCACUGUGUACUGUGGGGCUCCUCUUUCUGAUGUGUGAGGUACUGAAGCUGUGUGUAAAGUUGCCAUUUAUCUGUGCUUUUGUUCAGGGUAUUAACAUGAUGGAGAGGCUUUUUCUGGAGCAGCCUUGUUGACGGCGCUCCUGUGAGCUGUUGUAAAUGCAGCAUCCUUCUACAGGAGAAAAAGAACCUGCAUUGUUUCCUGGGAACAGAAUAUCUUCAUUGCCAUCGUGACUCCGCGGCUGUUAUCUGAUCUUCAUUGGUACCAUUUUACUGAGGGGAGAGAAUUCCAUGUGUGGAGGUGGGGGGGAAAAAAGAGAAGACUGUAAUCUGGAAUGCUGAUUGUGAAAUCACAGAGAAAAAAUGUAAGCUUGGGAAUGGCAUCUCCUUGUUAAUUUGGUGCACCAUCCCUAGGGACCUCAUUCCAUCAGGGAACGCGGAGCCCUGCUGCACAAACAGCCCUCGCUGCCAUGAGGAGCCCCGAGCCUCUCCAGCCCAUUGCUGUCUUUCCCGGAGGCACAAGCACAGCCCAUGCACUGCUCUGAGAUGGACUUCACUGCCCCAGAACAAAGCUCGACCUCAGCAGCGCAGUGGGGCUGCCGCUUCCUGCCUGUGUCAGCACUGCUCGCUAUUACAGCCCUGAUGGUGGUGUUGGGUUACCGUGCUCCCGCCAGUGUAAUUAUACCCAACUGUAAAGAUGUGCCUCGGGACAAGUUUUAAA
This is a long non-coding RNA of Tympanuchus pallidicinctus (lesser prairie-chicken), 5608 nucleotides long. RefSeq lists it as uncharacterized. The transcript is spliced from 4 exons. The record is from RefSeq and is a predicted model, not a curated record. NCBI's taxonomy places the organism in Eukaryota, Metazoa, Chordata, Aves, Galliformes, Phasianidae.